UUAACCGGCUCGAAUUGAUUUUUAACCUGGAUUAAACCUUCUGUGUUGACGAUUUCUAGCCAAGUUUUACGGGAAAUGGAUACCUACAAUCGUCCUUACGGAUAUGGAGAACAACCCUUGACACCUAUAGAGAAUGCAGACAACAGCAAAGGAUCAAGACAUCAUCUUCAGGUUUCUUACCUCACCUUCACUUCUGAGCUGGCUGUCGCACAGGUUAACACAGAAUUUGACCAGCAGAGGAUUUGACCAACACAGGAUUUGACCAACACAGGACUGGACCAACACACCAGCUAGAUAACAGCCUGGUAUACAGCCAACAGCAAAGGAUCAUGACAUCAUCUUGCAAGUAUCUUGCCUCACCUUUACUUCUGAGCUGAGCUGCACACAGGAUUUGACAACACAGGAUUUGACCAACAUUGAAUUUGACCAACACACUAACAGGAUAACAGCCUGGUAUACAGCCAACAGCAAAGGAUCAUGACAUCAUCUUGCAAGUAUCUUACCUCACCUUUACUUCUGAGCUGAGCUGCACACAGGAUUUGACAACACAGGAUUUGACCAACAUUGGAUCUGACCAACACACUAACAGGA
Asterias rubens (European starfish) is the source of this 591-nucleotide long non-coding RNA. RefSeq lists it as uncharacterized. The record is from RefSeq and is a predicted model, not a curated record. The transcript is spliced from 4 exons. Lineage: Eukaryota; Metazoa; Echinodermata; Asteroidea; Forcipulatida; Asteriidae.